GGCCGCCCUGACCCCUCGGCAGCAGGGAGCCCCUGGGAAGGGCGCCGCAUCGACUACAUCCUGUACCGCGAGCACCCUGCCCCCAUCAGCCUGACAACGGAGGUGGAGAAGUUUUCCUUCAUCACCCAGCUGGCCGGGUGCUCGGACCACAUGGCUGUCGGUCUGCGGCUGCUCCUGAACCCUCCACCGCAGUGGCAGCAGGAAAUGUGAACCCCGGUGUCCGGGGCAGAAGAUCGAUGGACAGUGCUGAUUAUGGUGGGGUGGGGCUGGGCCCUUCCCCUCCAUGUGCCCUCCCCCCACCAGACUCGGGUAGGCUGCGAGCUCUGGGAUCAGAUGGAGCUGGCUGGGCCAAGAGGCCCCUGGGGCUGUGCAAGGCUGUGUGGGGCUAGAGUCGCCCCCGGGGGCUCUGAUGGUCCCAUGGGAGGUGGGUCUGUGCUGGCCAGAGCCCCCCUGCUCAGUGCCCCAGGAGGGGGACAGCCCCAGCACCUGGUUUCCAGGCUGGCAGAGGCCCCAGGUUGAGGCUCUACUGCACCAGUGGGGCCCAGCACCCAUGGGUCUGGGUUCAGGGUCCCCAGGGGGUCACAGGGGUGUGGAGCUGCCUCUGCAGACCUCACCCACUGCAGCAGGACGACGGGACGGCUAUUUCCCAGGCUGCCAGCCGGCUUCUCCCCCCGGCUCAGUGCCAUGGGCUCCUUGGCCCCCUCCCCAGCCCGUAAGCUGGGUGUUAGCUGGGCAGGGGCUCCCCAGCACUGGCGUGGGGACCGUGUCUGCCCCUGCUCAGCACCACGAGGCCUGUCUGUCCCCCAGCAGGGCAGAGUGCUCUUCAGCUGCGCCGUGGUUGCCAGGAGGAGCUCCCCACUGACCCUGCUCACCCAGCCUUGGCAGUGUGCCCCUGUGGGGUCGGGAGCUGGAAUUAAUAAAGCUUCCAAAGCA
This is a non-coding RNA of Chelonoidis abingdonii (Abingdon island giant tortoise), 933 nucleotides long. The record is from RefSeq and is a predicted model, not a curated record. Lineage: Eukaryota; Metazoa; Chordata; Testudines; Testudinidae.